UUUAACCAAAGAAACACGUUUCCACAACUCUCUCUCUCUCUCUCACGUUUCCUCUCUGUAUUGCACCAACAAAACACUUUUUCUACACUCAAGUCAAGCUCAUUUCCUUCCCUUUCCCACUCUCUAAACCGGUAACCCUCUCUUCUCUUCCAAAUCAACCACUUCUCUCUCUCUCUCCCCCUCUUUCUUUCUCUUCCGCUCUCCUUCUUCUUCCUCCCUCGUCCUUCUUCUUUUUUUCUUUUAUCUGAAAUCUCUUAUCAAUUCAUUUUUUUCCUUAACCCUUCAAGAGUCUCAAUCGAUUUGGGGUUAAGUGGGUGAAUUUGUGAGAGAGAAAUUGAGUUAUUAUACCCUAUUUGUGAGUAUGUUUAUGAUUUUUCAUGGAAAUUUGUAAUUAAACAUGUGAGUUGUUGAGAAGGAGAAAAGGAAGCUCAGAGGUUUCAUUGUUGAGAAGAGAUGUGUUCCUCUUAUGCUCCUUUUGGCAUAAGUUCUAUUUUGUAGAAUCAUUUUUGUGAUUUUUUUUUUGUUGUAUAAUUAAUCAUAAAUAAUUAAUCAAUUUGUAGAAUCGUUUAUGUGAUCUUUUUGCAAUGAUUUGUUUUUUUGUGAAUAUUUUUUGGGAUGAUUUGGAUGCAAUUUUGUUUGGUUUGAUAAUUUGUGUGAUUUUUUUUAUGUGAUGAAUUGUAUAAUUUUUUUUGUAACCAACUGAAUGUAUUUUUAUGAUGAAUUGUGUGUGGUUUUUUUUUUUGUUAUGAUUUGUGUGUGAUGAAUUGUUUGUGUAGAUCCCACUCUGCUGAAACUUUUGAUUCAAAGACAAAGACUGGUGGUCUGUUCAGAACCAUCAAGCACCAAGUUGAUCUUGCUCAUGGUGCUGGUAUUGGGUGCUAACAACGGUCUUGAUAUUGUUGUUAGGCUUGUGGAGCUUCUUAAGGAACAAUUCCCAAUCAUUAGCUAUUCUGAUUUUUAUCAGCUUGAGGCAUCACAAGUUUGAGUUUGAGGCCGAUUUAAAGAGAUGGAUCUAAUAAUGAGUAUUUCUGGAAUCACAGAUGCAUGUUAUAGCAGCUCGCAGUUGUGGUUGCCUGCAGUGGCUCGAAUCCUACUCUAGAUUCAAAGUAAUGAUGGUGACAAGUUCGAUGAGUCUAUACAACCGAGCCUAUGAACAUACAAUAUGGAAUUUGACAUCUCCAAUGUCUCUGAGUUUUUUGGGUGUUGGCUGCCUUUCAUGUUGUUUCAUUUCAUGCAGCUUUGUGUUGUGCACUGCAGGUCCAUUGUGAAUUUUCCCUGCCUGAGUUGGUUUUCCGGCUAUCUGCGUAUCUACCGUUUUGUCAAGAUUUGAGAUUUUAAACUUUAUUUUGAACUAUUUACCCAAUUGCGCAAAAAGGGUGAGAAAAUCAUGCAUAUGUUCAAAAGGCUCCAGGACCUCCGAUUUUUUUUGAAGAAUGCUCAACUUAUGAGGUAUAGAAAUCCAGUGAUGCAGAUUUUUACUAGAGUGAACUAAUGAGUUGCAGAUGAACCAACUUGAAUCACAUAAGCUAGAAAAAAAAGCUCAAAUUGAGAUGACUUCAUAUGGAAAAGAUGACUGUAGGUUUGGUAACUCUGUUAGUGGUGUGCUUGAAGUGAGGAUAGAUAUAGAGGACUCUACUUGCUUUGCAUUGAUGCUACUGUUAAGUUGUCUCAUGUCGGCGUGAUGUGGUUGAAGUUGCUACUGCCAUGCACUUAUGUUAAAGACACUAACGAGAAUGCACCAAUCAAGACAGACUUGAUUUUUCUUCUCAUACAACAUUCAAGCAAGGAGGAUAGGAAAGGAGACUAUUGAAGGUGAUUCAAACAAUAAGGAUGAUGUGAUUGGGACUAAUUCAGGUUAGAAUUCAACUAGCAAGUCAUUGUGGAAGAAACAUACUAUGAUAAUUUGGACACAUUAGGUGUGAUUGAUCUUGAUGAAUACGAUGCAUCUACCACAAAAGAGCGAAAAAUUCCAUCUGUUAAAGAUUGAAGAAACUAUGUCGUUGAUAUGUUGGAGGAUUUGAUAUUAGUGGUUGUGUUCUGCAUUCAUAUGUUUUGUUGUCCUUUUGUGAAUUUGAAAGUUUCUUAUGAAUUUCUUUUAGUUAUCUGAUAUGGAGGAUUGUUUUUUUUUUUAGCAUUUUUCCUUUGUUUUGAUGAUUUUUGUUUAGGUACGCAUGAACUAUACCAUUUAUCAGUCCUUGCAAUCAUUUGAGGAUCA
This is a long non-coding RNA of Medicago truncatula (barrel medic), 2215 nucleotides long. RefSeq lists it as uncharacterized. The transcript has 10 exons. Lineage: Eukaryota; Viridiplantae; Streptophyta; Magnoliopsida; Fabales; Fabaceae. The record is from RefSeq and is a predicted model, not a curated record.